ACGCACGCUGGCGGCGUGCUUCACACAUGCAAGUCGAACGGUGAAGCGCCUUCCUUUUUGGUGGGUGUGGAUGAGUGGCGAACGGGUGAGUAACACGUGAGUAACCUGCCCCCUUCUUCUGGAUAACCGCAUGAAAGUGUGGCUAAUACGGGAUAUUCUGGGUCUGUCGCAUGAUGGGUCUGGGAAAGAUAUUGUUUCGGUGGGGGAUGGGCUCGCGGCCUAUCAGCUUGUUGGUGGGGUGAUGGCCUACCAAGGCGGUGACGGGUAGCCGGCCUGAGAGGGUGGACGGUCACACUGGGACUGAGACACGGCCCAGACUCCUACGGGAGGCAGCAGUGGGGAAUAUUGCACAAUGGGCGCAAGCCUGAUGCAGCGACGCCGCGUGAGGGAUGGAGGCCUUCGGGUUGUGAACCUCUUUCGCCAGUGAAGCAGGCCUGCCUCGUUUGUGGGUGGGUUGACGGUAGCUGGAUAAGAAGCGCCGGCUAACUACGUG
Molecule: ribosomal RNA, 493 nt
Filed under: uncultured bacterium
Lineage: Bacteria
Description: partial 16S ribosomal RNA
Rfam family: Bacterial small subunit ribosomal RNA
Source: RNAcentral